MicroRNA precursor from Aotus nancymaae (Ma's night monkey), 56 nucleotides. Lineage: Eukaryota; Metazoa; Chordata; Mammalia; Primates; Aotidae. The record is from Ensembl.
UUGCCGUCCCCUUCCUCGUCUUUUCCCCUCAGGAGAAAUCGGGAAGGUGGCGGCGG